GCAGAAUCCACUCAAAAAAAUGGGAAGAGGGGCUGCUUUGGAUAACAGUAAUUUAGGAGUGACACCAGCUGCUGGAAGCUGACUUAGGAGCGUGAAACUAUCUCCUUUAGUUGCCGGUGUUGUCACAAAGACGAGCGUCACCCGUGGCCUGAGGAUUCUGGCCGCGCGCGUGUAGCAAAUCUCGAAUAGGAGAUUUGAAACCUGAGGAUGUGGUUUCUGAAACCAAUUUCAACACCCAUUCUCUCAAGGCUUGGGCAAAUCUUUUCUCUUUAUCUGUUUCUGCCUCUAUAAAACCUGACAGGUAACCAACCCAGCUGACUUACCACUGGGCUCUGCGCCCCAGUGCUGAAGUUCAAACUCAGAACCCUGCCUCUGCUAUGCAAAUGCUCUCUCUGCUCCUAAAAUCCACCUCAGCCUGAGAUACACACAGAUCCUCAUAUCAAGGUCUCCAGGGUACUGUUAAGUGGAAAGAAAAGUACAGAACACUGUUUCGAGAGGAAAUACAUCAGACUGGUUUGGGAAGCUACCUCUGGGAAAGGAGUCUCAAGUUGACAUGUUGGAGGGGUCACCAUGAGACGCUGAGGUGUGGCUCAGUAGUUGGUAGAAAGCUUCCUCAGCACACAAAGACUUGUUAAUUCCAAGCACUGAAAAGAAAUUAAUGUACUUAUGUGUAAAUUCUGCAA
Molecule: long non-coding RNA, 683 nt
Organism: Mastomys coucha (southern multimammate mouse)
Lineage: Eukaryota; Metazoa; Chordata; Mammalia; Rodentia; Muridae
Exons: 2
Source: RefSeq, a predicted model, not a curated record